RNAcentral lists this long non-coding RNA (2127 nucleotides) under Mus musculus (house mouse). Its description in RNAcentral is "long non-coding RNA chr10:56384779-56386906". Lineage: Eukaryota; Metazoa; Chordata; Mammalia; Rodentia; Muridae. The record is from RNAcentral.
GAGAGUUGUUUUUGUUUUGUUUUGUUUUGUUUUGACUAAAAUUUAGAAAAGUAGAAAUAUUAAGCAAGGUCUAGAAAACAGAGGAACAGCCAGUGGAUUGGAGAUAGUGAGAGCUAAAAGCAGAGAGGUAACUAAGUUUGGAGUCACAAGAUGAGCCAUCACAUUAAGCAUUAUUUGAUGGUGUCUACGAUAGUGGUAAUGACAGGUAUCUACAUGUUACAGGAGCUAGAGUGCCCAAAUUGGAUAAUUCAUAUCUUAUUCGGAUGAAAGACUGUAACUCAUUAAUGCAAAUGACUGCUGCGUGGGUGCUUAAAGAAAAGACAGCUUUGCAAUUAAAUCGCUGGUGCAAUAAAAAAAAGACUUACCCAGAGAACUGACUGGUGACCCAAUUCACAUGCCCUGGCACUGGGAAUAUUUUUGUGGAAUCUCAGAAUUAUACAAAAGUCAAGUGUCUUACUCCAGAAUAUUAAAAACUUAAUGAACUUGCACCAGUUCCCCUCAAACUAUACUUUACCUUGAACAGCAAGGAAGCACUGGGUCAGUAGAGGCGCAUGGGGUGCCCGCUCUGUGCUGAGCAAGCUGCUUGCUUGAUCUACUGCUGCAUGACCGCGGUGAGAUGCGGGCAAACAGCUGAUCACUCUGUUUUCACCACCCUACUCCCCCAACGAGUGGAUAACUGAGCAAAAGCAGAUGACCCUGGCAGAAUAGUACAAUUCUUUACAAACAGAAGUGGGGCCAAUUUACACAUCAUCACAUAGAACUGUCUGGAUAUGGGCUCCAAAGUUUUUCCUUGUUUGCUUGACCCUUGUGGACUACCCUUCACUCCUAGUCCAGUAUUUUCUGCUAAAUUAGAUAGAGGCUCUUUCUUUUAUGUGCUCGAACCAUUACACUGUCCAUCAAGAUUAUCCCCUUCUCCUCAAGCCUGGCUGUUUAACUCUGGACCGUGCCAGACUUCACUCCUCUCUGUUUACACGUCAUAUACUAAUGUCACCUUCUGAAUUGUCAUUUCACAGUCUGAAAUACUUCCCAGAAAGAAGCAGCAAAGUCCUUUGUCUACAACUUUUUAGAAAAUACUAUUUGCGCGGGCCUGCCCACCCACAUCUUACUAUUCUAGUUUUGGCAGGAAUCUAGCCAUCUUCAAAGGCACCCGUGGAGUGGGGAGAGAGGUUCCCAACCCCACCCCUCCCUCAGGAGCUAUAGGCAGUUCAUUAUUGGAUCUUUGACUACAACUUUUCUGAAAGGCUCUGCUGAAAAGAAACAGCCUCUGUGUCUGCUACUUCUUGCUUUGACUCUGAUUACAGAGCUUAACUUUGCAGCCCUUGUCGGCCUGGAACAUUGUGUAGACCAGGCUAGCCUCAUGAGCAUAGUGAUUCUCUUCUUGUUUCUACAUGCUAAGUGCAGAAACUAUAGGCAUGAGGUUCCAGCCCUGGCUAGGUGAAAGUGAUUGCACUGGCUCCAGGCCCAAAGUUCAGUAAAGAACUGUUAAAAUGCUAAGUACCACAAGAUGAAAAGCUUUUUUUUUUUUUUUUUUUUGACAAAUGCCUACCCCGUCUCUCUGUUGUUGUUUUGCAUGUUACUUGAUGUUUUAAUUUUAUUCUGUAUCGCCUUGCCUGUCCUGGAACUCACUCUGUAGACCAGUCUGGCCUUUAAUUCAGAAAUCCGCCUGCCUCUGCCUCUCGAGUGCUAGAGAAUCAAAGGUGUGUGCCACACCACCAGGCUCAGAAAAUACUCUAAUGUGGUCCCUUUUUGUUUAUCAAGCUGUUAAGUAACAGUGAGACUUUUUUUUUUUUUUUUUUUAGACAGGGUCUCUCUGUAUAGCCCUGGCUGUCCUGGAACUCACUUUGUAGACCACGCUGGCUUCGGACUCAGAAAUCCGCCUGCCUCUGCCUCCUGAGUGCUCGGAUUAUAGGCGUGCACCAUCAUGCCCGGCACAAGUGAGACAAAUUGAACUCAGUUGAAAUGUGUACAUUAGUCUGAAGAUCUUAUGUAGGCCGACUUUCAGGGUAGCCUCUGUCUCACAGCUCUAAUCCUCCUCCCUCAUGCUAGGAAAGUAUGAGAACACAUGCCUAUAAUCUCAGAAGGCAAAGAUGAGAAGAUAACAUGUCAGGCUAAUAUAGGAGACCCAUG